RNAcentral lists this ribosomal RNA (253 nucleotides) under uncultured bacterium. RNAcentral describes it as "partial 16S ribosomal RNA". It matches the Rfam family "Bacterial small subunit ribosomal RNA", at positions 524 to 776 of the family's 1533-position model. The record is from RNAcentral.
UACGUAGGGUGCAAGCGUUGUCCGGAAUUAUUGGGCGUAAAGAGCUCGUAGGCGGUCUGUCGCGUCGGCUGUGAAAACUCGGGGCUCAACCCCGAGCCUGCAGUCGAUACGGGCAGACUAGAGUGCUGUAGGGGAGACUGGAAUUCCUGGUGUAGCGGUGAAAUGCGCAGAUAUCAGGAGGAACACCGGUGGCGAAGGCGGAUCUCUGGGCCUUACCUGACGCUCAGGCGCGAAAGCUAGGGGAGCGAACAGG